GGGGACAGCGCGGCACCUGAGUUCUCCAGGUUAAGGCCUGGUCGCCCUGAGCAAGUCAUUGGCCACACAGAAAUACUCACAGGAGCUACACUGAUGAUUGCUUCCUAUGUGCCAGGUACUAUGUGCAAAGUUCAAGCCACAGCUCACAGUCCUGUUGGGUUGAGUGCUAUCAUAUUAUCCCAUUUACCAGAUGAGAAGACUGAGGCCCACAAGGAGCAAGUGAUUUGACCUAGUCCACACAGCUGCCCCUGAUGCAGCUGAGCCGUGGCGUGGAGAGGUUGCUAAUCCUCCCCUCCCCUUCACUCUGGGCCUCCCAUCUGGCGCACCUUCCCCAGGUGUCAGCUGUGCUGGAAACUGCUCAUCCCAGGCUCAGACAUGUUGUGUGACCUUAAACCACCUCUGGAGGUGGUGGGGACAGGGGCUGAAACUCCCAGUGUGUUCCCUCCCUCAUCCACAUCCGGGCCCUAAGAGGCUCCUGCUGGUGGCUAGGGCAGAAUUGGGUGCAACUGUUUGCUUUACAAAGCGGACAAUUGCGCCCACCCCCUCAGUGCUCCAGGGCACAGCUCCACACCUGUUCUCCACCCUCCUGCCCAGGUGCAGAGAACAAAAGAACACCCACUCACCAAGGUUAUUACCUUGAAGGGGGCGGGGAGAAAGACUGCCCUAGGGAGAGCCCUAUUUGGGAAAGGGAGAAAAGCUCCCGGGAAUUAGGAGGUUUGCAUCUGCACAGUUUAAUACAUACAGCUUUCUUUGGUAAUGAGAAUGUUCUAUAUCUACGCUGCGAGCGAGGUACGACAGCCACCAGAACUUGUGGCUGUAAAGGCCUUAAAAUGUGGCUGGUGUGACUGAGGAACUCAAGUUCCAGUUAAAUUUAAAUAGCCACCUGUGCCUAGUAGUUACCUUAUUGGACAGCACAGGCUUAACAGUUGGCUCUGUUGUAUAUAUAUAUACAACACAAAUAUGAUGAUAUAUAGCAAAUAACAUCUGUUGAGCGCACGCUUUGUGCCAGGUACAUUGCUUGCGUUCUCCUAUUUAUUCCCCACUACUACUCUGCAGGAGAGGUGUUAUUGUCCCCAUUUUACAGAUGAGGACACUGAGGAUCAGAAUGGCAACAUCAUUUGGCCAAUGCUCCAGAAUAAGGAAAUGCUAAAGGCUGAAAGGGAACACCCAAAAUCACAUUUUCAAACCCCACUCAGCUAAAAUAAACCCAAAGACCCCUGCAGCCUUUGCAACUUCUAGUCUCUACAAAUGAAUGGAGUGUGCAAAUUGCUAAAGGAAUGCAAAUCAGCCUACCAUUUGGGGGACAAAGCUCAGAUCCUCCGGUCA
Suricata suricatta (meerkat) is the source of this 1326-nucleotide long non-coding RNA. RefSeq lists it as uncharacterized. The record is from RefSeq and is a predicted model, not a curated record. The transcript is spliced from 3 exons. NCBI's taxonomy places the organism in Eukaryota, Metazoa, Chordata, Mammalia, Carnivora, Herpestidae.